GACGAACGCUGGCGGCGUGCUUAACACAUGCAAGUCGAACGGAAAGGCCCUGCUUUCGUGGGGUGCUCGAGUGGCGAAAGGGUGAGUAAGACGUGAGUAACCUGCCUUUGAUUUUGGGAAAUCGUCAGGAAACCGGGGCUAAUAGCGGAAAGGAGCUCCUGCUGCAUGGUGGGGGUCGGAAGGUUUCGGCGGUUGGGGUUGGACUCGGGGCUUAUCUGCUUGUUGGUGGGGUAGUGGCUUACCAAGGCUUUGACGGAUAGCCGGCCUGAGAGGGUGACCGGCCACAUUGCGACUGAGAUACGGCCCAGACGCCUACGGGAGGCAGCAGUGGGGAGUAUUGCACAAUGGGCGGAAGCCUGAGGCAGCAACGCCGCGUGCGGGAUGACGGCCUUCGGGUUGUAAACCGCAUUCGCCUGUGACGAAGCGUGAGUGACGGUAAUGGGUAAAGAAGCACCGGCUAACUACGUG
RNAcentral lists this ribosomal RNA (468 nucleotides) under uncultured bacterium. Its description in RNAcentral is "partial 16S ribosomal RNA". It matches the Rfam family "Bacterial small subunit ribosomal RNA", at positions 28 to 507 of the family's 1533-position model. The record is from RNAcentral.